CACGGAGUUUACUGCUUCAAACAUAAACAACGAUGGCAAAGGGAGCGGAUGUCUUCUUUUAAGGACACAAAGCCAGAGGAUGUCCACACCAAGGGUAUGAAGAUGAGCAUCUUAACUAUUACUGGAAGAUGAUGUUGUCAUCCACUCAAACCUAAAGGUGCCUAGGAUGUAGUACUAGAGACGCAGAUUGUGUUGGAAUAUAUACAUGGCCUUACCACUGCUGUUGCUGUCCUCUUUGGCUUAAUUUAGAUCAUCCAAAAAAAUGAAAAUUCUGUCAUCAUUUACUCACAGCCAUGUCGAUCCAAACCCAUAAGACAUUUGUUCAUCUUUAAUACACAAAUGAAGAUAUUUUUAAUGAAACCUGAGAUAUUUCUGUCCAUUCACUGAAAAACUAUUCACCUAAAAUUCUGAUGCUUCAAAAUGUUCAUAAAGAGAUUGUAAAACAAAUACAUAAGAAUCGAAUGGUUUAAACAAAGUCUUCUGAAGAGACGUGAUCACAUUACACAUCACGCAUUUCACACUAAAUGCUGCUCCAUCUCUGCAAGUGCUGUGAGUUUGAGCCUUAUAUAACAUGUAUUAAAAAACCCAGAAAUUGUAUUAUAUUUUAGUUUUCUAUACAGUGAUAGCUUAAAAGCUAUGUCAAUUAGCACUGCAUUAUAAGUACACUCUAAAAAGAUGGUUCUUUAAAGGUCUAUUUAGAACCGAGUUUAGGUUUUUUUUUUUAUUCCUGGCUUUUUUAAAAAAAAAAAAAAAAAAAAUUGUAACUGUCAAAACACCUCAUUACUCAUUUUCUGGACAUCAACUAUCCAGCUACACAGACUAUCAACACAGUUUCACAGUUGUGUGACCAGCUCUGUUCGGUUAAGGAUACUCUCUUCUCCACUAAGUAAUAGAGAUGCAUCAUAUUCACAACCUCAUCAUCUGCAGAGAAACUGCCACUCAAUCACACCACAUUUGAUGGGCUUAAAGGCAUCACAGAGGAUCCUGAAGAUACAUUAUUCCUGGAAAUUUUGUCAUUUAUUUUCUAUUUCUAUUUUUACUUUCUGAUGUAUUUUUUUCAUGUUCAUUGUCAACUGUCAUUUAUUAUUUGUAUUUAGCCAAUAACUGUUUUUAGAGCAUUUUCAUUUUUGCUUCAAG
Molecule: long non-coding RNA, 1137 nt
Organism: Labeo rohita (rohu)
Lineage: Eukaryota; Metazoa; Chordata; Actinopteri; Cypriniformes; Cyprinidae
Exons: 3
Source: RefSeq, a predicted model, not a curated record